AUGAACGCUGGCGGCGUGCUUAACACAUGCAAGUCGAGCGAAGCAGUUAAGUUGAUUUCUUCGGAAUGAUUCUUAACUGACUGAGCGGCGGACGGGUGAGUAACGCGUGGGUGACCUGCCCCAUACCGGGGGAUAACAGCUGGAAACGGCUGCUAAUACCGCAUAAGCGCACAGAGCUGCAUGGCUCGGUGUGAAAAACUCCGGUGGUAUGGGAUGGGCCCGCGUCUGAUUAGGCAGUUGGCGGGGUAACGGCCCACCAAACCGACGAUCAGUAGCCGGCCUGAGAGGGCGACCGGCCACAUUGGGACUGAGACACGGCCCAAACUCCUACGGGAGGCAGCAGUGGGGAAUAUUGCACAAUGGGGGAAACCCUGAUGCAGCGACGCCGCGUGAGCGAAGAAGUAUUUCGGUAUGUAAAGCUCUAUCAGCAGGGAAGAUAAUGACGGUACCUGACUAAGAAGCCCCGGCUAACUACGUGCCAGCAGCCGCGGUAAUACGUAGGGGGCAAGCGUUAUCCGGAUUUACUGGGUGUAAAGGGAGCGUAGACGGCAAGGCAAGUCUGAUGUGAAAACCCAGGGCUUAACCCUGGGACUGCAUUGGAAACUGUCUGGCUCGAGUGCCGGAGAGGUAAGCGGAAUUCCUAGUGUAGCGGUGAAAUGCGUAGAUAUUAGGAAGAACACCAGUGGCGAAGGCGGCUUACUGGACGGUAACUGACGUUGAGGCUCGAAAGCGUGGGGAGCAAACA
Molecule: ribosomal RNA, 745 nt
Filed under: uncultured Lachnospiraceae bacterium
Lineage: Bacteria; Bacillati; Bacillota; Clostridia; Lachnospirales; Lachnospiraceae
Description: bacterial SSU rRNA
Rfam family: Bacterial small subunit ribosomal RNA
Source: RNAcentral